RNAcentral lists this ribosomal RNA (1386 nucleotides) under metagenome. Its description in RNAcentral is "bacterial LSU rRNA". It matches the Rfam family "Bacterial large subunit ribosomal RNA", at positions 1463 to 2925 of the family's 2925-position model. The record is from RNAcentral.
CCCUCAGGGACACAUUUGAAGUCUCGGAGCCGGGUGUUGGUUCCGGUAGCGAUCGAGGGAAGUUAGUACCGAAGUCUGAGAUGGAAGAUGGCGAGAAAAGCUGUGUGGAUUUCUGCGGUGCCCGUACCGCAAACCGACACAGGUAGGUAGGAAGAAGAUUCUAAGGCCAACGGGAGAAGGGUUGUUAAGGAACUCGGCAAAUUGACCCCGUAACUUCGGGAGAAGGGGUGCUGCAGAGAUGCAGCCGCAGAGAAUCGGCCCAAGCAACUGUUUUACCAAAAACACAGGUUUGUGCUAAAUCGAAAGAUGACGUAUACGAGCUGACGCCUGCCCGGUGCUGGAAGGUUAAGAGGAGAUGUGCAAGCAUUGAAUCGAAGCCCCAGUGAACGGCGGCCGUAACAAUAACGGUCCUAAGGUAGCGAAAUUCCUUGUCAGGUAAGUUCUGACCCGCAUGAAAGGCGUAAUGAUUUGGGCACUGUCUCAACAGCCCGCCCGGCGAAAUUGUAGUACCGGUGAAGAUGCCGGUUACCCGCGACAAGACGGAAAGACCCCAUGGAGCUUUACUGUAGCCUAAUAUUGGGUUUCGAUGUUGCAUGCACAGGAUAGAUGGGACUCUGGGAAACCGAUGCUUUGGCGUCGGCGGAGAGGCCGUUGGGAUACCAUCCUUGCGAUAUUGGAAUUCUAACCCGCGCCUUUGAAUCAAGGCGGGGGACAUUGUUAGGUGGGCAGUUUGACUGGGGCGGUCGCCUCCUAAAGAGUAACGGAGGCGUUCAAAGGUUCGCUCAGCUUGAACGGAAAUCAAGCAAAAGAGUGCAAACGCAGAAGCGAGCCUAACUGCGAGACUGACGGGUCGAGCAGUAACGAAAGUUGGAGUUAGUGAUCCGGUGGUAUGUGAGUGGAAAUGCCAUCGCUCAACGGAUAAAAGUUACCCGGGGGAUAACAGGCUGAUCUCCCCCAAGAGUCCACAUCGACGGGGAGGUUUGGCACCCCGAUGUCGGCUCAUCGCAUCCUGGGGCUGUAUUCGGUCCCAAGGGUUUGGCUGUUCGCCAAUUAAAGCGGUACGCGAGCUGGGUUCAGAACGUCGUGAGACAGUUCGGUCCCUACCUGUCGUGGGCGCAGGAUAUUUGAUGGGAGCUGUUCCUAGUACGAGAGGACCGGAGCGGACGUACCUCUGGCGCACCAGUUGUUCUGCCAAGGGCAUAGCUGGGCAACUAUGUACGGAUCGGAUAAACGCUGAAAGCAUCUAAGCGUGAAGCCGACCCAAAGAUAAGAUAUCCCAUUGUCUCAAACAAGUAAGACCCCUUGAAGACUACAAGGUUGAUAGGCACGAUGUGUAAGUGGAGUGAUCCAUUCAGCAAGCGUGUACUAAUAGGUCGAGGGCUUGAC